GUGCUUGCUUCAGCAGCACAUAUACUAAAGUUGGGAUGAUACAGAGAUUAGCAUGGCUACUGCACAAGGAUGACACGCAAAUUUGUGAAGUAUUCCAUAUAGAA
Molecule: small nuclear RNA, 104 nt
Organism: Dromiciops gliroides (monito del monte)
Lineage: Eukaryota; Metazoa; Chordata; Mammalia; Microbiotheria; Microbiotheriidae
Source: RefSeq, a predicted model, not a curated record